UAUUUUAAGAUGAGAGUUUGAUCCUGGCUCAGGACGAACGCUGGCGGCGUGCCUAAUACAUGCAAGUCGAACGCGUCUUGGUUAUUGAUGUUAAGUGCUUGCAUUUAACUGAUUUAACAUUGAGACGAGUGGCGAACUGGUGAGUAACACGUGGGUAACCUGCCC
Molecule: ribosomal RNA, 165 nt
Filed under: Lentilactobacillus parabuchneri
Lineage: Bacteria; Bacillati; Bacillota; Bacilli; Lactobacillales; Lactobacillaceae
Description: Lactobacillus parabuchneri partial 16S ribosomal RNA
Rfam family: Bacterial small subunit ribosomal RNA
Source: RNAcentral